This 77-nucleotide transfer RNA is filed under the name [Eubacterium] siraeum. RNAcentral's name for it is "tRNA-Pro(cgg)". It matches the Rfam family "tRNA". From Rfam's summary of the family: Transfer RNA (tRNA) molecules are approximately 80 nucleotides in length. The record is from RNAcentral. Lineage: Bacteria; Bacillati; Bacillota; Clostridia; Eubacteriales; Oscillospiraceae. RNAcentral also lists the same sequence under 7 other names.
CGAGGUGUGGCUCAGUUUGGUAGAGCGCUGCGUUCGGGACGCAGAGGUCGCAAGUUCAAAUCUUGUCACCUCGACCA